AUACGUAGGGGGCGAGCGUUGUCCGGAAUGAUUGGGCGUAAAGGGCGCGUAGGCGGCCGCUUAAGUCUGGAGUGAAAGUCCUGUUUUCAAGAUGGGAAUUGCUUUGGAUACUGGGGGGCUUGAGUGCAGGAGAGGUUAUCGGAAUUCCCGGUGUAGCGGUGAAAUGCGUAGAGAUCGGGAGGAACACCAGUGGCGAAGGCGGGUAACUGGACUGCAACUGACGCUGAGGCGCGAAAGUGUGGGGAGCAAACAUGAUUAGAUACCCUGGUAGUCCACGCUGUAAACGAUGAAUACUAGGUGUGGGGGGACUGACCCCCUCCGUGCCGCAGUUAACACAAUAAGUAUUCCUCCUGGGGAGUACGAUCGCAAGAUUGAAACUCAAAGGAAUUGGCGGG
Molecule: ribosomal RNA, 395 nt
Filed under: uncultured bacterium
Lineage: Bacteria
Description: partial 16S ribosomal RNA
Rfam family: Bacterial small subunit ribosomal RNA
Source: RNAcentral